Long non-coding RNA from Bos taurus (domestic cattle), 2556 nucleotides. NCBI's taxonomy places the organism in Eukaryota, Metazoa, Chordata, Mammalia, Artiodactyla, Bovidae. The record is from Ensembl.
GCACAAUGCAGAAAACUAGUCUUCAAGAAGAGAGACAGAGAAAGCCGACGUGCAGGAUGCUGUGAACUUUGUGUCUCCCAAACGUACAUGCUGAAACCUAAACCAGAAUGUGAUGGUGUUGGGGGCUGGGCCCUUUAGCAGAGUCUGGCCAAGUCCUACCUGCCCCUCGAGAUUCUGUUGGAACGUCUCUCCGAGAAGCCCCCUUCUGGCUCCCUGCUUUGUCAACUGUGAACCACACGUUCACUGCAUUGCCCUGCAAUGAUGGGUUCACAGACGAGUCUCGCGAAUCUGUGGAUUCCCCAAGGAAGCACUCAAGACAUAAAGAGGUAUGAAGAACAACAGAGUGGAUACCCAUGGACACAACCCAGUUGGUACAGCUGAAAAUAAAAUGGGCACAAGGGCCUUCCCUUAAAGAAGGGCUGGAACCAUUUCCAGCCCCUCUAGUUGCAGUCUUGUGUUUCCAAGGAACUGAAAAAUUGAUUUCAAACCUUGCGCCCAGGGCAGAGCCUGGUAUCUCCACAUCCAGACACAAAGUUCUCAUGCCACCCUCUUCUAAGGAGAAGGCAUCUCCCUCCUGCCUUGGGCCUUGGCAGGCUCUGCCACACCCCCUUCGAGGACAGACUUGGAGACUCUCUGAAAGGAAGGAAGAGGGGAAGGAAUUCAGGUUCCCCAUCAGCGUAGGCGUGCCCCCUGAUCAUCCUGACCAUGGGCUCCAUGAGAUUUUGGGUGAGGGGCGCAGGAUGGAAAACACCCAUGGGGGAAGUGCCUUAGGAAAGAAAUGAGCAAAUGAAGCGAACAAAGAUGGGAGGAUUCAGAAACCACCUGGACCUGCUUUCAUUCAUGCCAAGGCCUCUGGAGGGGGAUUCGUCAGGAAUUGCCUGUCAGAAGUCACUUCAGUUAUGCCGUCAUGUCCCUUCUAGGUCAGGACAGCAAGCCAGAGGUUGCGGUUUGAACAUGAAUAGGCAAGAUUCCUACUGAGGGAUUUGAGGGACUCAAGUAAGUGGAUGACUUACUGAAGAAAAUAAACAUUCAUGCUACAGUAAGACAGGAGCUAUCAUAAAGGGGAACAUAUAGGAUGUAAGGGAAGCCUCUGAAUCACACUUGGGCGCUGAGGAAGGCUUCCUGGAGGAGGUGAUGUUUGUCCUGCAGUGUGGCAAGUCACAUGCUAGGCAUGAUGAGUUCAUAAUGCUCGCUGGGAGCUACAAGUGGGCCCACCCUCCCGGAGCGAAAGGUGGGAGUGGGCGGUGGUGGGGGAGGUGGCCAGGGUGAUAUCACAAAGACCUGUGCGCUAAGCCAAGGAGUGGGAACCUUCUGCAAGCUAGCGGCAGCCACCAGAGGACUCAAGGCAGACCUGAGGCAGGGAAGAGUCCUGGAGAGAAGUGGAGAGCCCUGUGGAGCUGCGGGAUGGGGACUGGGAGGCAUAAGAACAAUGAGGAGGGCAUCACAGGACCGAGGUGAGAAGCCACGAGGAUCUGAAGUAAGAAGGUGAGGAGGUCUGCACCCCGUGGACACAGUGAUGGUGCCUCUCAGGGCUUGGGUUUGGCUGACUGCUAGUUGGCAGAGCUACUCACUGACACAAGAAUUCAGGGGAGAAGCAGACCUGGGCUUGGCCUUUGGAUGCUGGGGCAGCAGGUGAGUCACAAAUAUUAUAGAAGGCAUCAGACCCCCAGAGAGGCUACAAGCCUGAAAGCCACUAGAAGCAGACGGAAGGCCAGAGAAGGGUGAAGACUUGAGUGCAGGUAACAGGGCCUCUGAACGCACACCUGCUUUUCUGAGGAGACACCCUGCACAGGCUUCCCUGAGUCUCCAAGGCUGCAGCCUAGUUAUUCAUUUUAGCUCCAACAUUGUAAAGCCCAGGAUGGAACUGACAUCACCCCUGGACACACCUGUGGGCCUCAGUGAAGCAGCUCAAUCUCUAUUUAAUUUGGUUCUAUUUUAAAAUUCUGUAGUUUUUAAAAAUAUAUAUAUACAUGGUUUAAAAAUCAGUUAUGUAUCAAAAAUAUCACUGCUUACCCUGCUUUCCUGGUCCUCUGAGUCAACUAUUUUCAGCCAUUAGCAGAUGAUUUUUUUUGUUUGGUAUUUACCUUCCUAGCUCUAAACAACAUGGGUGUAUAGAUACUUGCUGGUUUUGUCCACAUUAGGCAUUAUCCAUUGACUUUCCAAUACAGUGCACAGGGAUUCAGCUCUGCUCACUCCACCCUCACCUCCACCACAUACGUGUGCCCACUUCCCGUUCCUCCAUCCUCCCAAUACAGUUGUCAUAUUUGGUUAUAUCAAUUUUCAGUCUUUACAUAUUAUGGUUGUGUUCAUGCUGUUCACAACUGAGUCACUUCAAGUAACCAUGAUUUUAUUCCCCUUUCCUCCAUAGCUUUUUAUAUUCCACCAGAGUUCAAAAUUGUGGCACUUAAUUUGUGCUUAUCACUACUCCAAUCCCCCAGUUCUCUCCCAAUUAUGUAAACCAUUCCCAGUAUUUUCAGACACAGUCUUAUCAAUGUCAUCUUUUGGACCAAUCUUUCCUGGAGUCUUUGAUCAGCUUCCAUCAGAACAGGCCGUUUC